AGCAAGCUUGCAAAAAAAACACUGCUUUGUAAAUGAAGAGCAUUAUGAAGAGCAAAUGAAAUAUGAGACAUUCUUCCCUCUUUAUGCAAAGCAGGCUUGUUUUUAAGUACAUCCUUACCCCUCCUGGAGAAGGUCUGCACAGCCAGAGGGGACACAGUGACUUCCCAGAGCUUCUCCCCCUUUUGCUGGAGGCGGGUUUCAGAGCGUUCUUAACCUUGCUCUCUCAUCUACAUGAUCAUCACCACCUGGCAACUCUGGCAGGAAUUUUCAUGCUCUCCACUUCCCCCAGGCCUGUAACAGCCUUAGGAAGGCUUUAAGGCAGUAGAAAAGCAAAAGCAGCCUAUCCCAUUUCUACCCCGAAGGCCUCUCUUAAAAGUUAACGUAAGUUGUUAAAGCACAACUGCCACCCCUAGAAGGGAAUCUUGCAUAACUUCUCUCUUCUAACAGCUUUCCUCAGCACCCAAAGCCCUGACUGCAGGCAAGCAGAAGUGCCUACACAGCAGCAAGCCAGUGCAAUGUGGUAGAUGGAAAAUAGCCUAGGAAGGCAGGAGUGAAGAGCUGCAGCUGUAAGUCACAGCACAAGUAGAGGGCCAGAGCAAGAAACACAAGGUACUGCAGUUUAUCUAGAUACAGGUACUUUAUUUACAAAUAUUUAGAUUAAUAGCAUUGUUACAUCAAAUGAGGAGUACAGCAGUCCGAACAAAUCCUUUCUGUGACAGAAACAAUAAGGCCUACUGUAACUUACUCUGGGAAUACAGGUAUUGCACCUCAACAAGCUGUAGUCAUUAGAACAUUUACUUCCAAACUUCAUGGCAGCAGCAGGUCCUGGUCCCUGGGCAAACCCCGCUGUGGUACAACCUUGGUUUAAGCAGGACGCAUCAGCUGUAGAGCUCAAACAUACCCAUCUACUAAAGAUACUAGUUAAAAAAAACUAACCAGACAAAACAAAGGGACAGCGCACAAACAAGUUACCCAAAUCCUAUUGUCUGCACAUUCCAGUUUUUUUUUGGCUUUUAUUUAACAUUGACUGUACAAUACUCUGGUACCACUGUUGACUUACACGUCUGAACAGUUUAUAGUUUUAGUGUCUAGGAAAGGAAUUAAAGACUACUUUGUAUUUUAAGCACUGCAGUAAGACUAGAAGUUGGACAUCUGAUCAUGGUUAAACACCCUUUCUUUUUUGAAACUGUAAUCAAUGUUUUCUUAAAUGAAGCUAUAUGUGACAUACACUGCUGCAUACAGAGUGACACAUUCUAGUCCUGACAACACAAUAAACCCCACAUGUAGUUUGUUUUGUACACAUGUGGGUUUUGCUAUCUCCCCUUUAUAGAAGUACUGCAUGUGCCAUCCCAGGAAGGCAGCACCCUUCAAGAAGAAACCCUCAGCUGUAGUGUUAAAAUACAACAGUAGCUACAACUCCCUAGAGAACACAAAUUGUUCUGACUGUCCAGUUCAGUAUCUGACCAUUGAAAAAGUUAAAGGUAUAAAAGCAUAAGAUGUGCAAGAGAACCAGCCUUGGUAUACAAAGCAAGGCAGGUAACAAAGCCCAAUAAUGUGAAAUGCUUACAGAAGAAAAAGCAGGUUAGCACACUGCUGAUUGCACAGAACAGGAUUAAUAACAUGGCAUAGAUAUACCACAGUGCAAAGAUGAAGGACAGAUUCCACUAGUGUUAAUUUCAGCACUGGGAUUAGAGUUCCCCCAGCACAAUGUCCACUGUCAUCACCAAGGAGUUAAGCUGCUGUUAGUGAACUGCAGUUACACCUAUGUCUGUACUGAUGGGCAAUGUGGUCACAUACAGGUCAUACUGUACAAACUGAUAUUUUCUUAUAUACUGUUCUAAUGCCAGUAAUCAUUUUCUUCAUUAAAAUCAUAUACACAGGAUGUAUUUAACUGUUAGCUCAGUUCCUUCAAAUUUUAUACAUAUUUACGUUCUGUUAGCAAAUGGAUAAAAGUGGCAAAAAAUGAUGUAAAGCUAUGAGCACAAGAAUGAAUGGUUUGUUUCCCUGUGCAAGUUGUACACUCCUGCGCCAGCCCCCCCUGCCCCCAACAUGCACACCAUGGGGAAUUCUUUCAACAUAGCACAUUGGUACAGAGCCCCUUUCUACCAUCAGAAGUCAUUUCACAGCAAAAAAAAAAAACCCAAAAACUUAUCCUUUACUAUGGACAGCUCUACACAGUUAAGAGGUGGGGAAGAAAGGCUGAAGAACCAUAAAAUUAAACCAUACAAGACAAAGCCCUGCAAAAGUGUAAAAUCAUGAGUCCAGCAUCAGUGCUCAGUUUAAAUUAUGUAUCUGUGACACUAUCACAAGGACAAUCAAGGAAAAAAAAACUUCUAGAUUCACCAUGCAGGAGAGGUUUUAUUACUCUACUUGCCUUGGAUAACCUGAUUACAUCUAAAGUUGUUUAGCAGUUUAGUACUGUGUUAAACUUGUUUCAGUUUUAAUUAAACCCAAUAAGAUGUACAGAAGACAGGGAAGCAAUCAAAAGCACUGCUCCCAACAGACAGAGGUGAAAGGUCAGAAAUGAAGCCAUGAAAGAGGUCACUAGCAGCCACAGCCUUCUCUCUGGGGCUGGGGUUCGCUGGUUAGCCGCCCCCCCUGCGGAGCUGAUGGUUUGUGCUGUACACCUGACUCUGCAGCGUUCAGAUCCAGGCUUCCAUCUUGGAUAUUCUGGUAGAUUUUCUUGGCAGCCUCCAGGAAUGCAUCCUCAACAUUCUCUCCAGUUUUUGCACUUGCUUCAAGGAACAAUAAACCGUUUUCUUCAGCAAAUUGUUUGGCUUCUUCAUAUGUAACAUCCCUCUGUGCUUCCAGAUCUGCUUUAUUUCCUAUGAGGAUUAUCACAGUAUUUGGAUUGGUGAGAUUCCUUGCAUCUGUCAGCCAGCUGCUUAAGUGAUUAUACGUACUUCUUCUGGUAAUGUCAUAGACCAUGAGAGCUCCUGCUGCUCCUCUGUAAUAGCUUCGUGUGACAGCCCUGAAUCUCUCUUGUCCUGCUGUAUCCCAGAUCUGUAGUUUAAUUUUUUGGCCACUAACUUCAAUUAUUCUUGUGCCAAAUUCAACACCAAUUGUGUGGGGACAGUCCGCCAUAAAUUUCUUUUCCGUGAAUUGGUGAAGCAAACAGGACUUUCCUACACCCAUGUCCCCAAUAAUGAUGUACUUAAAGAUGUAGGAGUAGUUGUAAGGUGCAGUUGCCAUUGUGGCACUGGGCUCCGGGAGCGUGUGGCUGUGCAGCGUGGCUCUGCCGGCGGCAGCCCGGUCCCCCUACGGGCACUGGAGCGCUCUGCUCGUGCUGGGCAGCGGCCGGGCCGAGUCCCCACCUCACUCCGGCGCUCUCUCAGGCUCUGCUCCGCUGGCUCCACUGCGCCCCCAUCACCCCCCUUAUCCAAG
Molecule: long non-coding RNA, 3384 nt
Filed under: Gallus gallus (chicken)
Lineage: Eukaryota; Metazoa; Chordata; Aves; Galliformes; Phasianidae
Source: RNAcentral